RNAcentral lists this ribosomal RNA (274 nucleotides) under uncultured bacterium. RNAcentral describes it as "partial 16S ribosomal RNA". It matches the Rfam family "Bacterial small subunit ribosomal RNA", at positions 523 to 796 of the family's 1533-position model. The record is from RNAcentral.
AUACGGAGGGUGCAAGCGUUAUUCGGAAUCACUGGGCGUAAAGGGCGCGUAGGCGGGUUGGCAAGUCAGAUGUGAAAUCCUACAGCUUAACUGUAGAACUGCAUUUGAAACUGCUAACCUAGAGUAUGGGAGGGGGAGAUGGAAUUAGUGGUGUAGGGGUAAAAUCCGUAGAUAUCACUAGGAAUGCCGAAAGCGAAGGCGAUCUCCUGGAACAUAACUGACGCUAAGGCGUGAAAGCGUGGGGAGCAAACAGGAUUAGAUACCCUAGUAGUCC